Molecule: non-coding RNA, 339 nt
Organism: Cinara cedri
Lineage: Eukaryota; Metazoa; Arthropoda; Insecta; Hemiptera; Aphididae
Source: the annotation of a GenBank genome assembly
AUUGAAAAGGACGUACAUGAAUACUCUUUAAACAAUAUUAUUUCAAAAAAUAACGUAUUAAAUGGAUACAACUGCUAACGAAGCCGCUCAAGUGGUAGCAUUAAUGGAAUCAGGGAUGCGUCAAUGUGAUGUUGCACGGCAACUAAACUUGAGCCGUUUUGCCGUUCGACGAGUUUUCCAACGUUAUCAAGAGACUGGUGGCUUUAUCCGGGGGCAUGGAUCAGGCCGAUAACGCUGCACAAUGGACAGAGAUGAUCGUUUUAUUGUCUCGACGUCUUUGCGCAAUCGAUUUUCAAAUGCUGUAGAGCUUCAACAGCAACUCCGCGCAGCUCGCAGUAC